Molecule: small RNA, 458 nt
Filed under: Pongo abelii (Sumatran orangutan)
Lineage: Eukaryota; Metazoa; Chordata; Mammalia; Primates; Hominidae
Description: processed transcript
Source: RNAcentral
GCUUUUGCCAUAUCUCAGCAACCAACUACUUUUUCAAGAUGUCGAUUUUUAGUACAAGAUAAAGGGUCAAUGGUUUGUUAUUGAUGGAGAAGGGAGAAAAAGGACCUCAUCUACCUGCAGCAAUGAGUCCCUAAGUGUGGGAGGAACCUCUGUCACUCCUCGCCGGAUCUCCUGGCGGCAGCGCAUUUUCCUCAGGGUUGCUUCUCCCAUGAACAAAUCUCCCUCAGCAAUGCAACAGCAAGAUGGAUUGGACAGGAACGAGCUGCUGCCACUGUCUCCCCUCUCUCCAACCAUGGAGGAGGAACCGCUGAUUAUAUUCCUGUCUGGGGAGGAUGACCCAGAAAAGAUUGAAGGAAGAAAGAAAUCAAAAGAACUGAGGAGCUUGUGGAGAAAAGCUAUACACCAACAAAUCUUGUUGCUUCGAAUGGAAAAAGAAAACCAGAAACUUGAAGCAAGCA